This 1506-nucleotide ribosomal RNA is filed under the name metagenome. RNAcentral's name for it is "bacterial SSU rRNA". It matches the Rfam family "Bacterial small subunit ribosomal RNA". The record is from RNAcentral.
AGAGUUUGAUCAUGGCUCAGGACGAACGCUGGCGGCGUGCCUAAUACAUGCAAGUAGAACGCUGAAGGGAGGAGCUUGCUCUUCUUGGAUGAGUUGCGAACGGGUGAGUAACGCGUAGGUAACCUGCCUUGUAGCGGGGGAUAACUAUUGGAAACGAUAGCUAAUACCGCAUAACAAUGGAUGACACAUGUCAUUUAUUUGAAAGGGGCAAUUGUUCCACUACAAGAUGGACCUGCGUUGUAUUAGCUAGUAGGUGAGGUAAUGGCUCACCUAGGCGACGAUACAUAGCCGACCUGAGAGGGUGAUCGGCCACACUGGGACUGAGACACGGCCCAGACUCCUACGGGAGGCAGCAGUAGGGAAUCUUCGGCAAUGGGGGCAACCCUGACCGAGCAACGCCGCGUGAGUGAAGAAGGUUUUCGGAUCGUAAAGCUCUGUUGUAAGUCAAGAACGGGUGAGAGAGUGGAAAGUUCACACUGUGACGGUAGCUUACCAGAAAGGGACGGCUAACUACGUGCCAGCAGCCGCGGUAAUACGUAGGUCCCGAGCGUUGUCCGGAUUUAUUGGGCGUAAAGCGAGCGCAGGCGGUUUGAUAAGUCUGAAGUUAAAGGCUGUGGCUCAACCAUAGUUCGCUUUGGAAACUGUCAAACUUGAGUGCAGAAGGGGAGAGUGGAAUUCCAUGUGUAGCGGUGAAAUGCGUAGAUAUAUGGAGGAACACCGGUGGCGAAAGCGGCUCUCUGGUCUGUAACUGACGCUGAGGCUCGAAAGCGUGGGGAGCGAACAGGAUUAGAUACCCUGGUAGUCCACGCCGUAAACGAUGAGUGCUAGGUGUUGGAUCCUUUCCGGGAUUCAGUGCCGCAGCUAACGCAUUAAGCACUCCGCCUGGGGAGUACGACCGCAAGGUUGAAACUCAAAGGAAUUGACGGGGGCCCGCACAAGCGGUGGAGCAUGUGGUUUAAUUCGAAGCAACGCGAAGAACCUUACCAGGUCUUGACAUCCCGAUGCUAUUUCUAGAGAUAGAAAGUUACUUCGGUACAUCGGUGACAGGUGGUGCAUGGUUGUCGUCAGCUCGUGUCGUGAGAUGUUGGGUUAAGUCCCGCAACGAGCGCAACCCCUAUUGUUAGUUGCCAUCAUUCAGUUGGGCACUCUAGCGAGACUGCCGGUAAUAAACCGGAGGAAGGUGGGGAUGACGUCAAAUCAUCAUGCCCCUUAUGACCUGGGCUACACACGUGCUACAAUGGUUGGUACAACGAGUUGCGAGUCGGUGACGGCGAGCUAAUCUCUUAAAGCCAAUCUCAGUUCGGAUUGUAGGCUGCAACUCGCCUACAUGAAGUCGGAAUCGCUAGUAAUCGCGGAUCAGCACGCCGCGGUGAAUACGUUCCCGGGCCUUGUACACACCGCCCGUCACACCACGAGAGUUUGUAACACCCGAAGUCGGUGAGGUAACCUUUUGGAGCCAGCCGCCUAAGGUGGGACAGAUGAUUGGGGUGAAGUCGUAACAAGGUA